This 72-nucleotide transfer RNA is filed under the name Paramuricea clavata. It matches the Rfam family "tRNA". From Rfam's summary of the family: Transfer RNA (tRNA) molecules are approximately 80 nucleotides in length. Their secondary structure includes four short double-helical elements and three loops (D, anti-codon, and T loops). Further hydrogen bonds mediate the characteristic L-shaped molecular structure. tRNAs have two regions of fundamental functional importance: the anti-codon, which is responsible for specific mRNA codon recognition, and the 3' end, to which the tRNAs corresponding amino acid is attached (by aminoacyl-tRNA synthetases). tRNAs cope with the degeneracy of the genetic code in two manners: having more than one tRNA (with a specific anti-codon) for a particular amino acid; and 'wobble' base-pairing, i.e. permitting non-standard base-pairing at the 3rd anti-codon position. Lineage: Eukaryota; Metazoa; Cnidaria; Anthozoa; Malacalcyonacea; Plexauridae. The record is from Rfam by way of RNAcentral.
GGCUUGUUGGUCUAGUGGUAUGAUUCUCGCUUUGGGUGCGAGAGGUCACGGGUUCGAUUCCCGUGCAAGCCC